RNAcentral lists this ribosomal RNA (396 nucleotides) under uncultured bacterium. RNAcentral's name for it is "partial 16S ribosomal RNA". It matches the Rfam family "Bacterial small subunit ribosomal RNA", at positions 523 to 918 of the family's 1533-position model. The record is from RNAcentral.
AUACGUAGGGGGCAAGCGUUAUCCGGAUUUACUGGGUGUAAAGGGAGCGCAGACGGCAGAGCAAGUCUGAAGUGAAAACCCGCGGCUCAACUGCGGGAUUGCUUUGGAAACUGCCCGGCUGGAGUAUCGGAGGGGCAAGCGGAAUUCCUGGUGUAGCGGUGAAAUGCGUAGAUAUCAGGAGGAACACCGGUGGCGAAGGCGGCUUGCUGGUCGAUAACUGACGUUGAGGCUCGAAAGCGUGGGGAGCAAACAGGAUUAGAUCCCCUGGUAGUCCACGCCGUAAACGAUGAAUACUAGGUGUCGGGUACUAAGAGUAUUCGGUGCCGGCGCAAACGCAAUAAGUAUUCCACCUGGGGAGUACGUUCGCAAGAAUGAAACUCAAAUGAAUUGGCGGGG